This 436-nucleotide ribosomal RNA is filed under the name uncultured bacterium. RNAcentral's name for it is "bacterial SSU rRNA". It matches the Rfam family "Bacterial small subunit ribosomal RNA", at positions 46 to 526 of the family's 1533-position model. The record is from RNAcentral.
GCUUAACACAUGCAAGUCGAGCGCCUGUAGCAAUACAGGAGCGGCAGACGGGAGAGUAACACGUGGGAACGUACCCUUCAGUUCGGAACAACCCAGGGAAACUUGGGCUAAUACCGGAUACGUCCGUAAGGAGAAAGAUUCAUCGCUGAGGGAUCGGCCCGCGUCUGAUUAGCUUGUUGGUGAGGUAACGGCUCACCAAGGCUACGAUCAGUAGCUGGUCUGAGAGGAUGAUCAGCCUCACUGGGACUGAGACACGGCCCAGACUCCUACGGGAGGCAGCAGUGGGGAAUAUUGGACAAUGGGCGCAAGCCUGAUCCAGCCAUGCCGCGUGGGUGAUGAAGGCCCUAGGGUUGUAAAGCCCUUUCGGCGGGGAAGAUAAUGACGGUACCCGCAGAAGAAGCCCCGGCUAACUUCGUGCCAGCCGCCGCGGUAAUAC